RNAcentral lists this ribosomal RNA (506 nucleotides) under uncultured bacterium. RNAcentral's name for it is "partial 16S ribosomal RNA". It matches the Rfam family "Bacterial small subunit ribosomal RNA", at positions 28 to 523 of the family's 1533-position model. The record is from RNAcentral.
GAUGAACGCUAGCUACAGGCUUAACACAUGCAAGUCGAGGGGUAACGAGAGGAAAGCUUGCUUUCCUUGUCGACGACCGGCGCACGGGUGAGUAACGCGUAUCCAACCUGCCCCCAACUAGGGAAUAACCUUGCGAAAGUAAGACUAAUACCCUAUAAUUUCCUCAGAUGUCAUCUGACGAGGAAUAAAGAUUUAUCGGUUGUGGAUGGGGAUGCGUCUGAUUAGCUUGUUGACGGGGUAACGGCCCACCAAGGCAACGAUCAGUAGGGGUUCUGAGAGGAAGGUCCCCCACAUUGGAACGGAGACACGGUCCAAACUCCUACGGGAGGCAGCAGUGAGGAAUAUUGGUCAAUGGGCGGAAGCCUGAACCAGCCAAGUAGCGUGCAGGAUGACGGCCCUAUGGGUUGUAAACUGCUUUUAUACAGGAAUAAAGUUAGCCACGUGUGGUUAUUUGUAGGUACUGUAUGAAUAAGGACCGGCUAAUUCCGUGCCAGCAGCCGCCGUAA